UUAUCUUUGAUUAGAUGCCAGAAAUGGUCACUUUUACCUUAUUGGGUGGUGGAUCUUUUUGAUUCUUAUAAAUCUUCUUGAGCUUUGUUCUGGGAUGUGUUAAGUUGCCUGGAAAUUGUUUGAUCUUCUUGGGUCUUGCUUUUAUGAUUUAUUUGGCAUAUCUGAGCAGUCUAGGGCUAAUUAUGCCCCACUACUAAGCAAGAUUUUCUGGGGUACUCUACCCAAUGCUCAUAAAGUAUGAUUUCAUUCAGCUGUCAGAGGGGGGAAUAUGCAAUAUUCCCAGCCCCGUGUGAGCAUCAGACAAUGUUCUUUAAUCUUUUCAAAUUAUUUUUCCUCCAUCCUGAAGUGUUACUUCACAUGCAUGUGCUAAUCAGGACUCUGUUGAAUAUCAGAGGGGGAUGCUCUGCAGAUAGUCAGGGCUCUUUCUCUGCACAUCUCUUUCCUUUUAUUACUUUGUCCAUCCAUGAACUCUAGUCCACUUGGUUUCCCUAACUCGCAGCCUUAUUACCUCAGUUCAAGGAUCCUACUGGGCUCCUCUCAGACUUUCUUCUCUGUCCCGUAGCCUGCAUAGUCUCUGAAGGCAGCAAGCUGGGGCAGUCAUAGGGCUUACCUAGUUUGUUUCUUGUCUCUUAGGGAGUAACUAUCCUUUGUUGUCUUAGGUCUAGUGUCUUGAAAAUGGCGUUUCUGACAUUUUAUCUUUUUUAUUUUGAAUGCAGGAGGGUAAAUUCAAUCCUGGUAACUUAAUUGUGGGCAAAAGUGCAAAUCUCCUGGCAUCCAAUUCUUACCAUAGAUUUCUGAUGUCUGGAAGCAUGGUGGAGCAACACACUUCUGAAGGGACAGCAGGUGCUGUAGUGAAGUUUUCCACAAAAGAAGAAAAUGUUGUGCUCUUUGUCUACCUCACCAACUUCCCUUCAGCCCUUGGGGAGUGUAGAAGACCUCCAUGUUCAUCAGGGCUCCAUUUUAAGGAGAGAACAGAAGUUGGAGGAUAAGGUGGGAGUUCUGAUUGAUGUGGACCAGAUAAGGUGACAUCUGGCCAAAGAGGAAGCUGGGAGCCACAGACUGCUAAUAGGAUGAAGGGAGACACAGCUACCCCUCUGUGGGGUCAUCAGAGAUGGAGGGGGCUGGCAUAAAGAUGAACAUCUGCGUCCAAAACCAUAUAACUCCAUACACCACAUCAUCUAAUAGGAGACCAACAUAUUGUCAGAGGCCGCCAGCAACAGAGGGAAGCAGGUAAAGCCAGUGUAAGAUCAGGAGCCUUUUUCCACCAAUGACAAACAGCCACUUAUUUAGAGCGAUCUCUGUUAUUCCUCUUAUUUUCCCUUCUUCCCUCAACAUGAAAGGCACUAGACCCAGAAAAGAAAGGAGAAAAUUAGAAGACAAGACCACAACCUUUUACCACCCUUGGUGUUUUUUUUUUCUUUUUUCUUUUUUUUGACAGUCUCACUCUGUUGCCCAGGUGCUGGAGUGCAGUGGCGUGAUCUCGGCUCACUGCAAACUCCGCCUCCCAGGUUCAAGUGAUUCUUGUGCCUCAGUCUCCCAAGUAGUUGGGACUACAGACAUGCACCACCAUGCCCAGCUAAUUUUGUAUUUUUUUUGUAGUGACAGGGUUUCUCCAUGUCCCCUUCCCACUCUCGUAACUUGAGGUACAAGUCUGGCAAACAUUGAAGCGAGACGAGGAAGUGCUAUUGAAACUGGAUAUGAGAUGGGAGUUGUGAACUAGACCAGACGGGACUUUUGGUAACUGAUAUCGAUGGGAAAGCAAUGGGAUCUACCUGAAAAUAUCAUUAGAAAAUGAUACUGACAGAUAGGACAAAUCAUGGUUAACAGUUGUGGCUAGAGUAAACAAGUUGAACUGUUUAUACCUAUACCGCAAUGGAUUGAGGCUUCUCAAUAAACUGGUUACAUCUGAUCUGCUAACAACAGCUGCUAAACAUUGAAAGGGGUACUGUGCUGACUGCUGUAUACACACUAUGUCAUUUGCUCUUCACAACCUAUAGGAUGGGCACUAGUUUUUCCCCCUUUUGGCAGAUGACAGAAACCGAGGCACAACCAACUUGUCUAAAUAUAGAUUACAGAAAUUUCACAUGUAUCUCUCCAGUUCACAGGAAGUGUCAUUCUCCUUAAUCACUUUGCUCUUAUCCUUGAUGUUUUUCCAAACAUUUUUGCUGAUGUUGAGUGUUUUCCAUUUCUCUGAGCUGUGUUGUCAGUCCAUCUCCUGAUGAAGCAAGGGCAGUUUGAAUGCUGAAUGGAGGUGGAUGAGGAAGGGGAACACUACGUGAAAAUAUUUGUUUUACACAGAUGAAAUGUUGGAUCAGAACGCACGGAACUACAUCCAGGGAGGCCGCGAGGAACACAAGGGGAGCAGAUAAUGACAUGGUCCACAACACACUUAAGGAGUUGGCAGAGUUUGGGAUCAGGGGAUUCUGCGCGUGUGUGGAUAAUCAGCAUUCAGGAGAAGGUGUAGUGCACGAACAGAAAUAUCAGCAGUUUGUGGCAUUAAGCCCACAAAUUUCAGGAAGUUGGAUUCCAAACUCUAGGACAUGAGGUCCAAGUCUGCUGGAGUUUGCUGUCGGUCCACUCCAGACCCUGUUUGCCUGGAUAUCACCAGCAGAAGCUACAGAACAGCCAAGAUUGCUGCCCUUUCCUUCCUCUGGAAGCUUUGUCUCACAUGGGCACCCACCAGAUGCCAGCCAGAGCUCUCCCAUAUGAGGUGUCUGUCAACCCCUUCUGGGAGGUGUCUCCCCAUCAGGAGGCACAGGGGUCAGGUACCCACUUGAGGAGGCAAUCUGUCCCUUAGCAGAGCUCAAGUGCUGUGCUUGGAGAUCCACUUCUCUCCUCAGAGCCAGCAGUCAGGAAUGUUUAAGUCUGCUGAAGCUGUGCCCACAGCCAACCUUCCCCCAGGUGCUCUGUUCCAGGGAGAUGAGAGUUUUAUCUAUAAGCCCCUGACAGGGGCUGCUGCCUUUCUUUCAGAGAUGUCCUGCCCAGAGAAGAAGAAUCUAGAGAAGCAGUCUGGCUACAGCGGCUUUGUGGAGCUGCAGUGGGCUCUGCCCAGUUUGAAAUUUCAGGCCGCUUUCUUUAUACUGUGAGGGGAAAACCGUCUACUCAAGCCUCAGUAAUGGUGGAUGCCCUUCUCUGCACCAAGCUCGAGCAUCCCAGGAUGACUUCCGACUGCUGUGCUGGCAGCGAGAAUUUCAAGCCAGUGGAUCUUAGCUUGCUGGGCUCCAUGGAGAUGGGAUCCACUGAGCUAGACCACUUGGCUCCCUGGCAUCAGCCCCAUUUCCAGAUGUUGGGUGCAGUUUCCCAAGGUGUACAAAGCAGGAAGACAUAAAAUGGCAAAAAAAAUCUGCCUGUUGGAGAUAUAUUUACAACAACUGGAUGCGAAAACAUUUCAGUUUGGCACUGUGGGCUUUUGAGCUAAUGAGUCUCAGCCUGAUUUAAGAAGUAAGCAACAAAGGGCCAAUAUGCAAAGGCCAUCUCUGGCUCAUUUAUAUAACAAUUUGUUAAAUCCUAGAGAAUGGUACAACACAGAGUGUCUAAUGUAAACUUGGACUUUUGUUAAUAAUAAUCUAUCAAUAUUGGUUCAUUAAUUUCAAUAAAUGUAUCACACAAAUGCAAGAGGUUAUCAAAAGGGGAAACUCUGUGGGAGGGGGGCAGGUAGGGAAGAGGGAGUGGGGCUAUGUGGGAACUUUAUAUACCUUCUGCACAAUUUUUCUGUGAACCUAAAACUUCUAUAGAAAAUAAAGUCUAUAAAAAUGUUAAAAGUCAAUGAGGAGAAAAAGGAGAGCGAAAUAAAUGGAAACUUGGGGGAAAUUUUGUAAUUCACAAAAUAAAAUCAAAAGUCAAAACCAAAUAAUUCUGCACAUCCAAAAUAUAACUAACAAGUCCAUUGAAUUAUAAACUGGUCAGAAACACAUGCAACAGUUAUAACAGAUCAAAAAGAGAUUUGUGCAAGUUUAAUGCAAAGGAAAUGUGGAGUAAGGCAUUAAGUAGGCAGUUUAGAGAAAAUGAAUACAAUUUUUUGAGAGGAAAGAAGGCCACCCUAACUCAAUAAACAAGUAAAAUAUUAUCACUGUGAGUUUCUAUUUUUCAUCUGUAAAUUUGGAAAAUACAAAAAACCCUGAAACCUGUAACACCCACCUGACAAACUCACAUAUGCUGUUGGUGGACAUGUACACUGGUAACUAUUUCAGAAUAUUUUUGAUAUCGUAAUAAAAACAGCACAUAGCCUUUGACAAAAUAGUUCUAUUCAUAGAAAUAUUUCCUACAUUCUUACUUACAGAUAUGCUCAAAACAUAUGUACAAGGGUGUUUGUGGCAGCUUUCGUUUUAUUAGCCAAAGACUGGACACUACCCAACUACACAUUGGUAAGAUUUGUACCAUGUAACAAGUAGCUUUUGCCAGAAAUUUUAAAUCUUGUAUGCCACUUAUUGGUUCAGGAUUUUAAUGUAUAUGUCUCUAAAUAAACUAUAUUUAUGUCUGCUUUGCAUUGAUCCCCUUCCACUGCAAAUUUUCAUCACCUAUCGAGGUCCCACCAGCCUAUUGUGUCUUUGCUUAUCUUACUGUACAGAUAACUCACAUGGAUUCCAAUAUGGACCACAAUUUGGACAGCUUCUUCAUUGUAUAAGAUAUAAGUAAAUCAUGUCACCUCAAUACAAAUAUUGAGUUCUUGAGGGCAAAUGUUAGGUCUUCUUCAUUUGUUGUUGUUUUUUUUUUUCUCCCUGGAACCUAAUACAUGAUAAAGACUUGCUGAUUAGAAGUAAUUUUUCCUAACCAUAAGACAGUUCUUAUAGUACAUAUCCUCAUUACAUAACUAUGUAUUAAACCUAAGGAAAAUGCUCAAGAGUUUGUCCCUUUUGUUUGGUCCUUGCUUUUUCUGGCACACUUCAUAUUGCCAAGGCCCGUAAGGGUAAGAGAGAGAGUCAUACCUGAACUUGAUAUUGUCAUCUGGAGGAGAUUCAUAACAACAAAGUAUCUGGAGAAAGAUAGCCCUGUAGUUUCCAUUAUACCUGUGAUAAGAAAUUAGGCAGGUUCAGUGAGAACAGGAUUAAUAUGUCACAGAAAUCACAUAUCUCCACAUCUUCCUGCAGUAAUUAACUCUCAAAUAGAGUUACCAGAUGAAACGUAGAACCCCCAGUUAGAUUUGAAUUUCAGAUCGGCAGUGCAAGUUUUUUGGUAUAAAUAUUUCUUGUGCAUCAUAUAAUUUUUAUUUUCUAAAUCUGGUAACUCUACUUUUAAGAUGUUCAAUAUAAUGACCAAGUCCAGCCAGAGGCUUCUUUCUCAUUAAAGGAUUUCUU
This 5294-nucleotide long non-coding RNA is filed under the name Homo sapiens (human). RNAcentral describes it as "HSALNT0006531". The record is from RNAcentral. Lineage: Eukaryota; Metazoa; Chordata; Mammalia; Primates; Hominidae.